ACGUAGGGGGCCAGCGUUGCUCGGAAUUACUGGGCGUAAAGGGUCCGUAGGCGGUGUGGCAAGUCGGRAGUGAAAUCUCUGGGCUUAACUCAGAGGCUGCUYCCGAAACUGCYGUGCUAGAGUGYGAGAGAGGCGAGUGGAAUUGCGGGUGUAGCGGUGAAAUGCGUAGAUAUCCGCAGGAACAUCCGAGGCGAAAGCGGCUCGCUGGAUCRCARCUGACGCUGAGGGACGAAAGCUAGGGGAGCAAACAGGAUUAGAUACCCUGGUAGUCCUAGCCCUAAACCAUCAGGACUUGGGGUUUGCCCUGUACGGGGCAAGUCCCGUAGCUAACGCGUUAAGUCCUGCGCCUGGGGAGUACGGUCGCAAGRCUGAAACUCAAAG
This 381-nucleotide ribosomal RNA is filed under the name uncultured bacterium. Its description in RNAcentral is "bacterial SSU rRNA". It matches the Rfam family "Bacterial small subunit ribosomal RNA", at positions 525 to 906 of the family's 1533-position model. The record is from RNAcentral.